GCCACUGUGAUGAAGGGAAGAAGUAGCCUGCGUGCCUGCUGCACAGAGAACCCCUGGUUGGUGAAAAGGGGAGAGCGCCGCCGGUAAAGUUACCUCCUGGAGCAGCUGCCUGAACCUCCUAUCCUCUGGGGAGAAGUAGGGUAUGUCGGGAGCGCCCGUUAUCGCGCAGGAGGUUUGACCGGAAACCGUCAGACCCGCUGAGGCCUCUUUCGUGAGAAAGGGGUAAAUAGAGGUGGUACCACGAUAUUUGUCGUCCUCUGU
This 261-nucleotide non-coding RNA is filed under the name Bacillota bacterium. Its description in RNAcentral is "Firmicutes bacterium T-box sequence". It matches the Rfam family "T-box leader". From Rfam's summary of the family: Uncharged tRNA acts as the effector for transcription antitermination of genes in the T-box leader family. The record is from RNAcentral. Lineage: Bacteria; Bacillati; Bacillota.